This 776-nucleotide ribosomal RNA is filed under the name uncultured Neocallimastigales. RNAcentral describes it as "partial large subunit ribosomal RNA". It matches the Rfam family "Eukaryotic large subunit ribosomal RNA", at positions 24 to 649 of the family's 3401-position model. Lineage: Eukaryota; Fungi; Neocallimastigomycota; Neocallimastigomycetes; Neocallimastigales. The record is from RNAcentral.
UAUCUCUGUAGAGUCUGCAUAUCAAUAAGCGGAGGAAAAGAAACUAACUAAGGAUUCCCUAGUAACGGCGAGUGAAGCGGGAAGAGCUCAAAUUUGAAAUCUUCAAGGUUCUACCUUGACGAAUUGUAGUUUAAAGAAGUGUUUUCUGUUGAAGUUUUGGUAAAAGUUCUUUGGAAUAGGACAUCAUAGAGGGUGAGAAUCCCGUAUUUGACCAUUAUUCUUCAGCUGUGUGAUACACUUUCAAAGAGUCGGAUUGUUUGGGAAUGCAGUCCAAAAUGGGUGGUAAAUUUCAUCUAAAGCUAAAUAUUGGCGAGAGACCGAUAGCGAACAAGUACCGUGAGGGAAAGAUGAAAAGAACUUUGAAAAGAGAGUUAAACAGUACGUGAAAUUGUCAAAAGGGAAGCGUUUGACACCAGUGUUGUUUUCUCGAAAAUCAAUUAAAAAAGGCUGGAUUUUGUGUUGUAUUGACUUAUCAAGCUUUCUUCACUCUUUUCUUGUCUUUUUUAAUGCACUUUUCGUUUAACAAGUCAACAUCAGUUUCUUUUGUUGUAAAAGGGUCAUUGGAAGGUGGCUUUCUUUUCGGAGAAAGUGUUUAUAGCCUUUGCUCUCUGCAAUCGGAGAGAUUGAGGUCUGCAGCGUAGACUCCUUCGGGGUUAGAUACAUUUGUGCUAAGUUAUAGCCUUUCAUAGACAACUUGUUGACUAUGAUCAGUCAUGUAGCUUACUCGCUUAUGCUAUUUUACCUACGCUUAGGAUGUUGAGUAGCGACAUACGCAC